AUGUAACCUAUAUUAUACAGGUACAGUAUCAGGUAACCUAUAUUAUACAGGUACAGUAUCAGGUAACCUAUAUUAUACAGGUACAGUAUCAGGUAACCUAUAUUAUACAGGUACAGUAUCAGGUAACCUAUAUUAUACAGGUACAGUAUCAGGUAACCUAUAUUAUACAGGUACAGUAUCAGGUAGCCUAUAUUAUACAGGUACAUUAUCAGGUAGCCUAUAUUAUACAGGUACAUUAUCAGGUAGCCUAUAUUAUACAGGUACAUUAUCAGGUAGCCUAUAUUAUACAGGUACAUUAUCAGGUAGCCUAUAUUAUACAGGUACAUUAUCAGGUAGCCUAUAUUAUACAGGUACAUUAUCAGGUAGCCUAUAUUAUACAGGUACAUUAUCAGGUAGCCUAUAUUAUACAGGUACAGUAUCAGGUAACCUAUAUUACACAGGUACAGUAUCAGGUAACCUAUAUUAUACAGGUACAGUAUCAGGUAACCUAUAUUAUAAUAUACAGGUAUAGUAUCAGGUAGCCUAUAUUAUAAUAUACAGGUACAUUAUCAGGUAACCUAUAUUAUAAUAUACAGGUACAGUAUCAGGUAGCCUAUAUUAUAAUAUACAGGUACAGUAUCAGGUAGCCUAUAUUAUAAUAUAC
Molecule: long non-coding RNA, 643 nt
Organism: Oncorhynchus keta (chum salmon)
Lineage: Eukaryota; Metazoa; Chordata; Actinopteri; Salmoniformes; Salmonidae
Exons: 4
Source: RefSeq, a predicted model, not a curated record